Molecule: transfer RNA, 67 nt
Filed under: Prunella collaris (Alpine accentor)
Lineage: Eukaryota; Metazoa; Chordata; Aves; Passeriformes; Prunellidae
Also listed under: 1 other name
Description: tRNA-Cys
Source: RNAcentral
GGCUCUGUAGUGAAGUUCAUGGUGAGUUGCAAGCUCAUCGAUGUGCACUGACUGUGUACCGGGGCCU